GGCCCACUGUAUGUUCAGGCGGCCAGCGGAGUAAAGUAUAAAGAUAACCAUACAAGAUGGCGGACAGGGGAGAGCAACGAUUUACAGAAGCUGAAAAGAGACAAAUAGAAAUUUGGAAUAGACAGUUCAUGCAAAAAAAGUACCUAGCACAGAUCAGGAGAAGAAAUAUGAUGGUAUUCGGAGGUCUUUUAACGUCUGUUGCUGCCAUUUAUGGAUACACACUUUUGGCAACUAAACAGGAACACCUGGACUUUGAGGAAUAACAGUUAUGGAUUCUGUAAAAAAGGGAACAGUCAUUGUGUAAUGUGUGUUCAUGAACAAGAGACUUGGAAGGAUUCUUAAACUUGAUGCAAAGGCAGGCCUUUGUGGUUGUGUAAAGCUGAGAAAGAGUAACAUGUCCAUGCAAAAUUUAACUUAAUUGAAGAGAAGUUGUUAACUCAUUGGCCAUGUUGAAGAUAUGUUGAUUUAAUUAUUAUUACAGUCUUGAUAGUAACCCAUAUUUAUUACCCUCCUUAAAUACAAUGUUAAUUGUUAUAAAAGCAACAAACAAGUUGAGGAUGAUGAAGAAAAUUUGAUGGCAGUUACGAUUGCAGCUAUGUUGUGAUGGUUUGUUAGCUUGUGUGUUGGGCAAAACUGUUAUGUAGCAUUUUAUAAGAUAUACUGAAGACCAAGAAGGGAGAUAAAAGAAUGGAGGAUGUUGUGAAUGAUGAACUUGAGUGGGCAGACAUAAUUAAGUGUAAAAGGAACUGAGGCCUUUCACUCCCAAGAUCUCAUUAGUAUUUCCGUUACUGUCUGCCAUUUAAUUCUUGUGAUGUAAGUUGGGUGAAUUUGGUACUGGAUCAACUAAGAAUCUCCUAAUUGAUUAUUUUCUUUAUUUUUUUAACCUGUCUACUUCGGAUUGUUUUCAUAUUGUGAGGAAAAAUUCUGUCUUGGUCACUUAUGGGAGUUAGUCAUGCUUGAAUUAUUGGUGAAGAGCUUGUCAUACUGGCUCUGGUUGUUCAAAGGGGCGGAUGAUGCUAUUCAACGGAUAAAUCAUUUUUCAGUAAAUGAGUAUUAACAAAACAUACUGUGCUAUCCACUGGAUAGCAACUUAUCAAGUGGAUUGCAUUACCUGCAACCACAUGAAGAAGAAGGACCACAUGCUGAGAUUAAAAGAAAAACCAAAAAAAGCAGGAAAAACGUGCAUGGCUCAUUGUUGUUGAACGUAAUUUUACAUGACACCUUGAUGAUAGUCAUUAAACUAUUUUUAACAGUGA
This is a long non-coding RNA of Pocillopora damicornis (cauliflower coral), 1256 nucleotides long. RefSeq lists it as uncharacterized. The record is from RefSeq and is a predicted model, not a curated record. Lineage: Eukaryota; Metazoa; Cnidaria; Anthozoa; Scleractinia; Pocilloporidae.